UACGUAGGGUGCAAGCGUUGUCCGGAAUUAUUGGGCGUAAAGAGCUCGUAGGCGGUCUGUUGCGUCGGCUGUGAAAACCCGAGGCUCAACCUCGGACCUGCAGCCGAUACGGGCAGACUAGAGUUCGGCAGGGGAGACUGGAAUUCCUGGUGUAGCGGUGAAAUGCGCAGAUAUCAGGAGGAACACCGGUGGCGAAGGCGGGCCUCUGGGCCGAUACUGACGCUGAGGAGCGAAAGCGUGGGGAGCGAACAGG
This 253-nucleotide ribosomal RNA is filed under the name uncultured bacterium. Its description in RNAcentral is "partial 16S ribosomal RNA". It matches the Rfam family "Bacterial small subunit ribosomal RNA", at positions 524 to 776 of the family's 1533-position model. The record is from RNAcentral.